This 1404-nucleotide ribosomal RNA is filed under the name Triticum aestivum (bread wheat). Its description in RNAcentral is "partial small subunit ribosomal RNA". Lineage: Eukaryota; Viridiplantae; Streptophyta; Magnoliopsida; Poales; Poaceae. The record is from RNAcentral.
GUUCGACCGAUCCCACCUCCGGAGCUGAAGUUUGGCAGUUAUUCGCGGCCUUAAGAAAACUUCGGCCACGAGAACAAUCUAGGUCCCUUCGAAAUCUCGCCUCGCCUCGCCUCCCCUCCCCUCCCCUCCUCCGCCGCCUUUCUACCCCACUUUCCAGGCGCCGGCUUGUCAGAUCCGGGCGCCAGCUUCAGCCACGAUAUUCAACUACUGGGUGUGUUAAAUUCUCGAGGAUGAUGAAUCGUCAGUUUGCGAAUAUGAUAGUACACAAUUACCCCAAGGGAGUUUAUUCCCUGCGCCGUAUCAACCUCAUGGAGCAUCUCUUCUACCCUUCAACAGAAGCUGCCCAAAAAGCAGAAGCCAAUAAGAAGGGAUGGUUAUCCACCAUGUUGAAAGGGAGCCCCAAGCAGCGUCUGCCCAAGACGAACAUCAACUUCUCAUCACUGCCUAACAUGGCCGACUUAACGGCCAGACAUUUCUUCUCCCUGCUGAAAGGGCAGGGGGAGGGCUCUGUCAUGUUCGUCAGCCCUAACGUCCACACGAUGAUGUACGACACUAGCACGGACUUUGUCUUUGGCAUGCCCCAAGCCAACUUCUGUAAGCAGAGCGACUCAAUCUCCCUGUCCAUCACUCGGCGGGGCUAUGGCCAAGAAUACCACGAGCUGUAUGUCAUAGGCAAAGGAGAGGACGGUGGCUUGUUUGAGGUCUUGAAAUAUACCAGGACAACUGAUCUGAGCAAACCGCCUUGGUACUGGCGACCUCUGCCCUGCCCGCCAUUGUUUCCGCAGUGCCUGCCUGGCGGCAACAGCAAAGUUUGUGCUCCCUCUGCAGCGGUCGUGUUGGAUGCCACCACAAUAUGUGCCUCAUCCGUGGAUGCCGGAGCCUGCGCCUUCUUUGACACGGUAACCCGCGAGUGGAGACAGGCUGGCAGCUGGGUGCUGCCCGUCCAUGGUGCGGCAGAGUAUGUCCCUGAGUUUGGCCUCUGGUUUGGCCUCGACGAUGCCAUUGGCAACCCCAACCAUUGCCUGCGUGCUUUUGACUUCGAUUCCUCCAGGCAACCGGUGGUGCGGCACUCCUGGAGCUAUCUCAGCCGCCUGCCGGAUGAGUGCUUGCCACGGCAGAGGCACCUGCUAAACAUGGGCUCAGGUUUGCUGAAGAGUGAUGACGAGGAGGCAAUGUGGCGUGGGGCAAUGAUGCUCAGGGAGAAUGCGAAGAACAUGAUGUGUAUCUGUGCUGCUGCUCAAGAUGAUGGUGCGAUGGACUGAAGCUUGCACUGAUGUAUUUCCGUUAUUCAUUAAUGAAAAGGGGCGAUGUGUGGUUAAAAAAAAGUAUUAACAUUGCUGAUGUAAGGAUGGUCGGCACAUCUGCGGGUGAAACGUGACUAAUAUAUAUCCUGUGUGUUUGAGC